This 373-nucleotide ribosomal RNA is filed under the name uncultured organism. RNAcentral's name for it is "bacterial SSU rRNA". It matches the Rfam family "Bacterial small subunit ribosomal RNA", at positions 526 to 896 of the family's 1533-position model. The record is from RNAcentral.
CGGGGGGAGCAAGCGUUGUUCGGAUUUACUGGGCGUAAAGGGCGCGUAGGCGGCCACGACAAGUCACUUGUGAAAUCUCCGGGCUUAACCCGGAGCGGUCAAGUGAUACUGUCGGGCUAGAGUACAGAAGGGGGCAACUGGAAUUCUCGGUGUAGCGGUGAAAUGCGUAGAUAUCGAGAGGAACACCUGCGGCGAAGGCGGGUUGCUGGGCUGAUACUGACGCUGAUGCGCGAAAGCCAGGGGAGCGAACGGGAUUAGAUACCCCGGUAGUCCUAGCCCUAAACGAUGAGUACUAGGUUGUAGCCUUGACAUGGGGUUACAGCCGGAGCAAAAGUGCUAAGUACUCCGCCUGGGGAGUAUGGUCGCAAGGCUG